UACCGCCCUGCAGGCAAAGACAAACACAAUACAUAUAUAUAUAUGUGCAUAGAUUUGCGUUCUUUGGAGAAAGGCACUUUAGUCGAAUCCUUAUCAACAUUUUCUGUUUCGAUACUAAAGACGAUGACGAAAUGCAACCCGAAUCGGGCUUUACUACGACCACAAGGAACGAGAUCCGUUGACACUUUUUUCACGAUAUUCUGGUCACCGAGUUAUAUCACUGAACAGUAGAUGCAUCAUAAUAAGAGACUGAAAAAAUGGCGAACAUAAAAGAG
Long non-coding RNA from Ylistrum balloti, 275 nucleotides. RefSeq lists it as uncharacterized. The transcript has 3 exons. Lineage: Eukaryota; Metazoa; Mollusca; Bivalvia; Pectinida; Pectinidae. The record is from RefSeq and is a predicted model, not a curated record.